UGGGGAAUUUUGGACAAUGGGCGAAAGCCUGAUCCAGCAAUGCCGCGUGUGUGAAGAAGGCCUUCGGGUUGUAAAGCACUUUUGUCCGGAAAGAAAUCCUUGGCUCUAAUACAGUCGGGGGAUGACGGUACCGGAAGAAUAAGCACCGGCUAACUACGUGCCAGCAGCCGCGGUAAUACGUAGGGUGCAAGCGUUAAUCGGAAUUACUGGGCGUAAAGCGUGCGCAGGCGGUUUGCUAAGACCGAUGUGAAAUCCCCGGGCUCAACCUGGGAACUGCAUUGGUGACUGGCAGGCUAGAGUAUGGCAGAGGGGGGUAGAUUCCACGUGUAGCAGUGAAAUGCGUAGAGAUGUGGAGGAAUACCGAUGGCGAAGGCAGCCCCCUGGGCCAAUACUGACGCUCAUGCACGAAAGCGUGGGGAGCAAACAGGAUUAGAUACCCUGGUAGUCCACGCCCUAAACGAUGUCAACUAGUUGUUGGGGAUUCAUUUCCUUAGUAACGUAGCUAACGCGUGAAGUUGACCGCCUGGGGAGUA
RNAcentral lists this ribosomal RNA (533 nucleotides) under uncultured bacterium. RNAcentral's name for it is "partial 16S ribosomal RNA". It matches the Rfam family "Bacterial small subunit ribosomal RNA", at positions 355 to 882 of the family's 1533-position model. The record is from RNAcentral.